Molecule: ribosomal RNA, 558 nt
Filed under: Salmonella enterica
Lineage: Bacteria; Pseudomonadati; Pseudomonadota; Gammaproteobacteria; Enterobacterales; Enterobacteriaceae
Description: bacterial SSU rRNA
Rfam family: Bacterial small subunit ribosomal RNA
Source: RNAcentral
AAAUUGAAGAGUUUGAUCAUGGCUCAGAUUGAACGCUGGCGGCAGGCCUAACACAUGCAAGUCGAACGGUAACAGGAAGCAGCUUGCUGCUUCGCUGACGAGUGGCGGACGGGUGAGUAAUGUCUGGGAAGCUGCCUGAUGGAGGGGGAUAACUACUGGAAACGGUGGCUAAUACCGCAUAACGUCGCAAGACCAAAGAGGGGGACCUUCGGGCCUCUUGCCAUCAGAUGUGCCCAGAUGGGAUUAGCUAGUUGGUGAGGUAACGGCUCACCAAGGCGACGAUCCCUAGCUGGUCUGAGAGGAUGACCAGCCACACUGGAACUGAGACACGGUCCAGACUCCUACGGGAGGCAGCAGUGGGGAAUAUUGCACAAUGGGCGCAAGCCUGAUGCAGCCAUGCCGCGUGUAUGAAGAAGGCCUUAGGGUUGUAAAGUACUUUCAGCGGGGAGGAAGGUGUUGUGGUUAAUAACCGCAGCAAUUGACGUUACCCGCAGAAGAAGCACCGGCUAACUCCGUGCCAGCAGCCGCGGUAAUACGGAGGGUGCAAGCGUUAAUCGG